This 1343-nucleotide ribosomal RNA is filed under the name uncultured bacterium. RNAcentral's name for it is "16S ribosomal RNA". It matches the Rfam family "Bacterial small subunit ribosomal RNA", at positions 28 to 1378 of the family's 1533-position model. The record is from RNAcentral.
GACGAACGCUGGCGGCGUGCUUAACACAUGCAAGUCGAACGGAAAGGCCCUGCUUUUGUGGGGUGCUCGAGUGGCGAACGGGUGAGUAACACGCGAGUAACCUGCCCUUGACUUUGGGAUAACUUCAGGAAACUGGGGCUAAUACCGGAUAGGAGCUCCUGCUGCAUGGUGGGGGUUGGAAAGUUUCGGCGGUUGGGGAUGGACUCGCGGCUUAUCAGCUUGUUGGUGGGGUAGUGGCUUACCAAGGCUUUGACGGGUAGCCGGCCUGAGAGGGUGACCGGCCACAUUGGGACUGAGAUACGGCCCAGACUCCUACGGGAGGCAGCAGUGGGGAAUAUUGCACAAUGGGCGGAAGCCUGAUGCAGCAACGCCGCGUGCGGGAUGACGGCCUUCGGGUUGUAAACCGCUUUCGCCUGUGACGAAGCGUGAGUGACAGUAAUGGGUAAAGAAGCACCGGCUAACUACGUGCCAGCAGCCGCGGUGAUACGUAGGGUGCGAGCGUUGUCCGGAUUUAUUGGGCGUAAAGGGCUCGUAGGUGGUUGAUCGCGUCGGAAGUGUAAUCUUGGGGCUUAACCCUGAGCGUGCUUUCGAUACGGGUUGACUUGAGGAAGGUAGGGGAGAAUGGAAUUCCUGGUGGAGCGGUGGAAUGCGCAGAUAUCAGGAGGAACACCAGUGGCGAAGGCGGUUCUCUGGGCCUUUCCUGACGCUGAGGAGCGAAAGCGUGGGGAGCGAACAGGCUUAGAUACCCUGGUAGUCCACGCUGUAAACGGUGGGUACUAGGUGUGGGGUCCAUUCCACGGGUUCCGUGCCGUAGCUAACGCUUUAAGUACCCCGCCUGGGGAGUACGGCCGCAAGGCUAAAACUCAAAGGAAUUGACGGGGCCCCGCACAAGCGGCGGAGCAUGCGGAUUAAUUCGAUGCAACGCGUAGAACCUUACCUGGGUUUGACAUGGAUCGGGAGUGCUCAGAGAUGGGUGUGCCUCUUUUGGGGUCGGUUCACAGGUGGUGCAUGGCUGUCGUCAGCUCGUGUCGUGAGAUGUUGGGUUAAGUCCCGCAACGAGCGCAACCCUUGUUCACUGUUGCCAGCACGUUAUGGUGGGGACUCAGUGGAGACCGCCGGGGUCAACUCGGAGGAAGGUGGGGAUGACGUCAAGUCAUCAUGCCCCUUAUGUCCAGGGCUUCACGCAUGCUACAAUGGCUGGUACAGAGAGUGGCGAGCCUGUGAGGGUGAGCGAAUCUCGGAAAGCCGGUCUCAGUUCGGAUUGGGGUCUGCAACUCGACCUCAUGAAGUCGGAGUCGCUAGUAAUCGCAGAUCAGCAACGCUGCGGUGAAUACGUUCCCGGG